GCUCAAGUCAGUUUCCUGGUGGAAGCUGAAUGUUCCUGUGGGUACUGUCCAGCCCACACUGAGAGUUCCGUGGGAAUAAGAGCUUUCCUUGUCUUAUGUACUGAGGGGCCUUCAGUGCAAGAUUCAAGAUCAUUCCCAGCUACAUAGAAAGUUUCAGGUUAGCCUGGACUACAUGAGACCUUGUUUCAAUAAAAGGGAAAAAAAUGUUUUGUUGUUGUUGUUUUAGAAUUACUUCAGCAGAGUUAAAAUGAUUGGAUCUCUGUGAGUUUGAGGCCAGCCUGGACUACUGAGUGAGUUCCAGACAGACAGCAAACCCUCUUAAAAAACAAAAAGAAAAAGAACGCCAGCAAGGUGAUCCAUGUCAGAAAGAACAGAACUUUGCCUGAGUCCUUGACCAGUGGCUCUGUGAUUGAGAAUCCAUCCAUACACAACGACACAUGCCUGCCAUCCUGCAUUCAGGACACUAACGCACAUUUAUAAGUUCAAGAUGUUCUGUUGAUGCUCACUGUGCCCCUCCCCACCCCACCAACCCAAACAAAGCCUGGCAUCACCCUGUCCCCAGCUCGCAGGGUGUCUGUCGACCUUUCCUGUUUCUUCCCUGCAGCACACAGGAUCACACCCUUGAAGGGAUUCACAAAACCACACCCUCGGGCCGGUGGGCCAGCCAGUUCCAAUCAUGAAGUCCUGGGAGAAGCAGUGUGAUUAACGCAUACCCAUUUCUCUGCCAGUCAGCUGGGACUCGACUCAGCUGGGUAGACCUGAGUGCCCGUGUAGUGAUUGCUACUGUGUGCAGCUUAAGCUCUUCAAGAGGACAGUCUUCACCUGUGGUGCCUGUGGCCUGGUGCUUGCUUAUGGUUGUCAGACAGCUUAACAUCAAGAAGUUGUUUCUGUCCCUCUAGAGAGGACACUGAGGUGUGUGGGAGGAGCUGCUGACAGUCUGUUAUUCCAUAAAGCUUAUCCAGCUGCCUCUAGUCAAAGGAGCUCCCAGAAGGCUUCUGGGGCCAGGCUCAGAAGUAGCUGACAUUGCAACAGAGAGCUAGUGUCAAUCCCUCACUUACCCCAGACUAGAGAAUGAAGUCUAGUUGUAUGUCUCCAUAGAGGAGGAUGUGCCUCAGUAUGCAGCAGAGAGCGUACCCCCACUAUUAGACCAGAUGCAGUUUACCAAUCUUCUUUAAUCCUGCCAUCUCCUGUGCCCAACUCCUACUACCCUCACUUGAACAUACAGCAGACAGGAGCACACAUUCUACUAGACCAGACUGCUGUGGCCAGUCAGUGACCUCCAUGUUGCUAAACAGCUGAGUUCACAGUCCUCACAUGACAACUUAUUGGCAGCAUUUGUCAUGGGUUGUAACUUCAACCUCCUUAAAACAUUUCCUCCUGAGUUUGAGGCCAGCCUGGUCUACAAAGUGAGUUCCAGGACAGCCAGGGCUACACAGAGAAAACCCUGUCUCG
RNAcentral lists this long non-coding RNA (1452 nucleotides) under Mus musculus (house mouse). RNAcentral's name for it is "long non-coding RNA chr11:50177696-50179148". The record is from RNAcentral. Lineage: Eukaryota; Metazoa; Chordata; Mammalia; Rodentia; Muridae.